This 304-nucleotide ribosomal RNA is filed under the name uncultured bacterium. RNAcentral describes it as "partial 16S ribosomal RNA". It matches the Rfam family "Bacterial small subunit ribosomal RNA", at positions 509 to 807 of the family's 1533-position model. The record is from RNAcentral.
CAGCAGCCGCCACGGGAAUACGUAGGGUGCGAGCGUUAAUCGGAAUUACUGGGCGUAAAGCGUGCGCAGGCGGUUUUGUAAGACAGGCGUGAAAUCCCCGGGCUCAACCUGGGAAUGGCGCUUGUGACUGCAAAGCUAGAGUGCGGCAGAGGGGGAUGAAAUUCCGCGUGUAGCAGUGAAAUGCGUAGAUAUGCGGAGGAACACCGAUGGCGAAGGCAAUCCCCUGGGCCUGCACUGACGCUCAUGCACGAAAGCGUGGGGAGCAAACAGGAUUAGAUACCCCGGUAGUCCCUGUCUCUUAUAC